RNAcentral lists this small nuclear RNA (18 nucleotides) under Arabidopsis thaliana (thale cress). RNAcentral describes it as "snRNA_02599". The record is from RNAcentral. Lineage: Eukaryota; Viridiplantae; Streptophyta; Magnoliopsida; Brassicales; Brassicaceae.
AACGAGAUUCCCACUGUC